RNAcentral lists this long non-coding RNA (1316 nucleotides) under Capsicum annuum. RNAcentral describes it as "long non-coding RNA (CANN_LNC008850)". The record is from RNAcentral. Lineage: Eukaryota; Viridiplantae; Streptophyta; Magnoliopsida; Solanales; Solanaceae.
ACACACAUACACCAUGUUCCAUCUUUCUUAGGUACUAGUAUCACCAAAACCGCGCACGGACUCAUGCUCUCCUUGAUAUACCCUUUGUUGAGGAGUUCCUCAACUUGAUGUCCUUGGCGUCCGUAGGGUUGCCUCUAUAAGCUGGCUUAUUUGGCAAUUGUAAGCCCGGCACAAAGUCAAUUAGUGCUCAAUUCCCCGAAGCAGAGGCAAUCCUUGCAGAAGUUCUUUGGGAAAUACAUCUCCAUAAUCCUGCAACACACAAGAAAUCAAAGGAGAAAUGGAAGAAUUAGUGGGGUUAGUGUUAAAACAAUGAGCCAAAAGUAACAUAGGUAUGUCCUCAUCAUGAUCCACGAAGAGUUCCUUCUUUCUAACCAACAUCACCAUGAUUUCUUUCCCUUUUGAUGUUGAGGAAGCCUCAGAUACCCCUACUACCCCACCUAUGGGUUCCCCUCUUUUUUCUUCCUUUCAGAUUUUUUUCCCUUUUUCUUCAAUUCUCUCAUCUUUUGAUGCUACUUGUUUACUUAGGAAGGCAAAAGAGGAUGAAGUGUGACCUUUCGACCAUUCUUAUCAAGUGUAUAUCGAUUGGACCUCCCAUCGUGUUUGGUAGACCAAUCAUAUUUCCAAGGUCUACCUAACAACAAGUGACACGCUUGCAUCGGUAGCACAUUACAAAGCACUUCAUCGUGGUAGUUUCUCACCUUAAACUGUAUCACACAUUACCUUGUGACCUUUAAUUCACCACAUUCAUUCAAUUAUUGCAACUUUUAAGGACUAGUGUGCGGUGUAGUUGGCAACUUCAAGAAGUUUACCAUAGCAACACUAACAACAUUUUCACAACUACCACUAUCAAUCACCAAACUGCACACACUCCCCUUUACAAGAUAUUUUGUAUGGAAUAGAUUUUCCCUUUGACUUGGAUCAUCUAUUGCCUUACUAAUCAUGACACCCGUAACUAUAAAGUUUGGAACUACACACUCCCCUCUUGUGGAUAAAUAUCUUCACCAUUAUUAUCAUGUGGUCCAUUCUCAGGUUCCUCUCCAUCUUGAGGCUCGACCUCAUCCUCUCUCUUUUCAAGAUCCACCUCCUCACCAAGGUAAUACAAUCUUCCUUCUCGUAAGAUCACGUUGUGUUGGUUUGGACAUUCAUUGGAUUUAUGUCCCCAACCUUGGCACUUGAAACACUGGAAUCUUUUUGGGUUAGAUUACUUGUGAACUUCUUAUUUUGGAGGAAUUUUGUGGACUGUUUUGGGCUCGGCCAGCCUUGUAGUGGCGGGUUGGUCCUUGUUUUUAGGCCAACCCGAAGAGGAUUGAGUCAUC